Molecule: ribosomal RNA, 115 nt
Filed under: Novimethylophilus kurashikiensis
Lineage: Bacteria; Pseudomonadati; Pseudomonadota; Betaproteobacteria; Nitrosomonadales; Methylophilaceae
Source: RNAcentral
UACGUCUGGCGGCCAUAGCGAGUUGGAACCACGCCUUCCCAUCCCGAACAGGACCGUGAAACGACUCCGCGCCAAUGAUAGUAAGCUCUUCGCUUGCGAAAGUAGGUCACCGCCA